GAUGAACGCUGACAGAAUGCUUAACACAUGCAAGUCUUUGGCAAAGCUGUGCUUGCACAGCCUAGCCAAGGCGGACGGGUGAGUAACGCGUAAGGAACUUGCCCUGCAGUCAGGGAUAACAGACGGAAACGACUGAUAAGACCUGGUAAAGUCAGGCGGACUCAUGUCCAGCCUGAUGAAAAGGAAUGCUGCAGGAGAGCCUUGCGUCCUAUUAGCUUGUUGGUGGGGUAACGGCCCACCAAGGCGAUGA
Molecule: ribosomal RNA, 250 nt
Filed under: uncultured bacterium
Lineage: Bacteria
Description: partial 16S ribosomal RNA
Rfam family: Bacterial small subunit ribosomal RNA
Source: RNAcentral